RNAcentral lists this long non-coding RNA (546 nucleotides) under Brassica napus (rape). RNAcentral describes it as "long non-coding RNA (BNAP_LNC012323)". Lineage: Eukaryota; Viridiplantae; Streptophyta; Magnoliopsida; Brassicales; Brassicaceae. The record is from RNAcentral.
CUUGUUUGCUUGCUUGAUGUUGGCAUUGUUCUUGAGAUCAGCUCUAACCCGAACUUGGCUUUAAUGAACUUAAUUUCUCUUGCACAUGGGCAUUUGCAUACUUGAUCAUGGAUCUCAUACACAUUUGAGUUAUCUUAUUCCUUUAUAUACCAAUCUUUGUUAACCCAAAUGGCAUUCCAUACCUUACAACCCUAGCCAUUCUUUGAGACCAAACAUUUAAUUGCAUGAGUGAGGCCUCUUUUGAUAGUUUGUCAUGUGCAAAAUAUUGAGAGUUUUGGAGGUGACAUAAGUUUAUUCUCAUCUCUUGCUAGCACAAUGAGUUAGCAUUUGGGGAUGGUGAGAGGGGUUUGUUUGUUCUAAACUUCAAUAUCUUGGGUUUGGGGAGCAAAAAAGAUGAGAGAGAAGUAUAAAUAGAAAAGAAAACUCUAGGGAUAAAAAAAAUAUGAAGCUCUUGGUUUUGUAACAGAACUUUCCCCCUAAUAAUAAAAAAAAAAAAAAAAAAAAAAAAAAUCAAAGAGAAGUUGGGGAAGGGAAUGAAAAAGAGUU